Molecule: ribosomal RNA, 253 nt
Filed under: uncultured bacterium
Lineage: Bacteria
Description: partial 16S ribosomal RNA
Rfam family: Bacterial small subunit ribosomal RNA
Source: RNAcentral
CACGUAGGGCGCAAGCGUUGUCCGGAAUUAUUGGGCGUAAAGAGCUCGUAGGCGGCUUGUUGCGUCGGAUGUGAAAGCCCGGGGCUUAACUCCGGGUCUGCAUUCGAUACGGGCAGGCUAGAGUUCGGUAGGGGAGAUCGGAAUUCCUGGUGUAGCGGUGAAAUGCGCAGAUAUCAGGAGGAACACCGGUGGCGAAGGCGGAUCUCUGGGCCGAUACUGACGCUGAGGCGCGAAAGCGUGGGGAGCAAACAGG